GACGAACGCUGGCGGCGUGCCUAAUACAUGCAAGUAGAACGCUGAAGGAGGAGCUUGCUCUUCUGGAUGAGUUGCGAACGGGUGAGUAACGCGUAGGUAACCUGCCUGGUAGCGGGGGAUAACUAUUGGAAACGAUAGCUAAUACCGCAUAACAGUAGAUGCUGCAUGACAUUUACUUAAAAGGUGCAAUUGCAUCACUACCAGAUGGACCUGCGUUGUAUUAGCUAGUUGGUGGGGUAACGGCUCACCAAGGCGACGAUACAUAGCCGACCUGAGAGGGUGAUCGGCCACACUGGGACUGAGACACGGCCCAGACUCCUACGGGAGGCAGCAGUAGGGAAUCUUCGGCAAUGGACGGAAGUCUGACCGAGCAACGCCGCGUGAGUGAAGAAGGUUUUCGGAUCGUAAAGCUCUGUUGUAAGAGAAGAACGAGUGUGAGAGUGGAAAGUUCACACUGUGACGGUAUCUUACCAGAAAGGGACGGCUAACUACGUG
Molecule: ribosomal RNA, 495 nt
Filed under: uncultured bacterium
Lineage: Bacteria
Description: partial 16S ribosomal RNA
Rfam family: Bacterial small subunit ribosomal RNA
Source: RNAcentral